RNAcentral lists this unclassified non-coding RNA (387 nucleotides) under soil metagenome. Its description in RNAcentral is "partial contains 5.8S ribosomal RNA, internal transcribed spacer 2, and large subunit ribosomal RNA". The stretch from base 1 to 120 matches the Rfam family "5.8S ribosomal RNA", at positions 35 to 154 of the family's 154-position model. The record is from RNAcentral.
GAUGAAGAACGUAGCGAAAUGCGAUAAGUAAUGUGAAUUGCAGAAUUCAGUGAAUCAUCGAAUCUUUGAACGCACCUUGCGCUCCUUGGUAUUCCGAGGAGCAUGCCUGUUUGAGUGUCAUGAAAUUCUCAACCUUUUCAGCUUUCUUUGUUGAUCAGGCUUGGCUGUGGGAGUAUGCGGGCUUCUCAGAAGUCGGCUCUCCUGAAAUGCAUUAGCGGGACCUUUGUUGCCUGGCUUUGGUGUGAUAAUUAUCUACGCCAUUGUAGUCAAGCAGCUUAAAAUGAGGUUUCAGCUUCUAACCGUCUCCCCUGAGACAACUUUUUGACAAUUUGACCUCAAAUCAGGUAGGACUACCCGCUGAACUUAAGCAUAUCAAUAAGCGGAGGA